CACGGCUAUAGUCACGGUCACAACACUCAUAGAUAAAGAGCUUCUUCACUCGGAUUUUUUCGCUAUCUGUUUGACGGAAACUCAAGCCUCAAAUUCAAAUUACCAAUAGUGGCUGGUUAAAUAGCUCCGUCGACUUGCAGUUAUUUAAAUUAACAAAGGAUUGUUGAGCUUAAAUUAAACAAUGAUCAACUUAUACAUUGAAUUAUGAUGAUAAAUAAUAAAAGAUUAGACGACACGGUUCGUGAAAACCUUAUUCGGCGAUCAUACUGUAUUGUGUACCUAAGCAUACACAUUAUCCACAAAUGAAACCCGUGGUCACGCAAUGAAUUAUGAAAUGAACAAAGCUAGUGAUGAUAACAGCAGGGACAUUACAGUAUUUCGAAUGCAUUUCGUGGGGACGCAUUAUACGCACGGCGAAAAACAGAAUAUAUUAAACCUACCUCACCGCGACGACGGUUAAGCAUUAUAAAUGAACCACCGCCGGGUGCAGGGAUUAAAAUUGCA
This is a long non-coding RNA of Myzus persicae (green peach aphid), 504 nucleotides long. RefSeq lists it as uncharacterized. The record is from RefSeq and is a predicted model, not a curated record. The transcript is spliced from 3 exons. NCBI's taxonomy places the organism in Eukaryota, Metazoa, Arthropoda, Insecta, Hemiptera, Aphididae.